AGCGUACACGGUGGAUGCCCUGGCAGUCAGAGGCGAUGAAGGACGUGCUAAUCUGCGAUAAGCGUCGGUAAGGUGAUAUGAACCGUUAUAACCGGCGAUUUCCGAAUGGGGAAACCCAGUGUGUUUCGACACACUAUCAUUAACUGAAUCCAUAGGUUAAUGAGGCGAACCGGGGGAACUGAAACAUCUAAGUACCCCGAGGAAAAGAAAUCAACCGAGAUUCCCCCAGUAGCGGCGAGCGAACGGGGAGCAGCCCAGAGCCUGAAUCAGUGUGUGUGUUAGUGGAAGCGUCUGGAAAGGCGCGCGAUACAGGGUGACAGCCCCGUACACAAAAAUGCACAUGCUGUGAGCUCGAUGAGUAGGGCGGGACACGUGGUAUCCUGUCUGAAUAUGGGGGGACCAUCCUCCAAGGCUAAAUACUCCUGACUGACCGAUAGUGAACCAGUACCGUGAGGGAAAGGCGAAAAGAACCCCGGCGAGGGGAGUGAAAAAGAACCUGAAACCGUGUACGUACAAGCAGUGGGAGCCUCUUUAUGGGGUGACUGCGUACCUUUUGUAUAAUGGGUCAGCGACUUAUAUUCUGUAGCAAGGUUAACCGAAUAGGGGAGCCGAAGGGAAACCGAGUCUUAACUGGGCGUUAAGUUGCAGGGUAUAGACCCGAAACCCGGUGAUCUAGCCAUGGGCAGGUUGAAGGUUGGGUAACACUAACUGGAGGACCGAACCGACUAAUGUUGAAAAAUUAGCGGAUGACUUGUGGCUGGGGGUGAAAGGCCAAUCAAACCGGGAGAUAGCUGGUUCUCCCCGAAAGCUAUUUAGGUAGCGCCUCGUGAAUUCAUCUCCGGGGGUAGAGCACUGUUUCGGCAAGGGGGUCAUCCCGACUUACCAACCCGAUGCAAACUGCGAAUACCGGAGAAUGUUAUCACGGGAGACACACGGCGGGUGCUAACGUCCGUCGUGAAGAGGGAAACAACCCAGACCGCCAGCUAAGGUCCCAAAGUCAUGGUUAAGUGGGAAACGAUGUGGGAAGGCCCAGACAGCCAGGAUGUUGGCUUAGAAGCAGCCAUCAUUUAAAGAAAGCGUAAUAGCUCACUGGUCGAGUCGGCCUGCGCGGAAGAUGUAACGGGGCUAAACCAUGCACCGAAGCUGCGGCAGCGACGCUUAUGCGUUGUUGGGUAGGGGAGCGUUCUGUAAGCCUGUGAAGGUGUGCUGUGAGGCAUGCUGGAGGUAUCAGAAGUGCGAAUGCUGACAUAAGUAACGAUAAAGCGGGUGAAAAGCCCGCUCGCCGGAAGACCAAGGGUUCCUGUCCAACGUUAAUCGGGGCAGGGUGAGUCGACCCCUAAGGCGAGGCCGAAAGGCGUAGUCGAUGGGAAACAGGUUAAUAUUCCUGUACUUGGUGUUACUGCGAAGGGGGGACGGAGAAGGCUAUGUUGGCCGGGCGACGGUUGUCCCGGUUUAAGCGUGUAGGCUGAUUUUCCAGGCAAAUCCGGAAAAUCAAGGCUGAGGCGUGAUGACGAGGCACUACGGUGCUGAAGCAACAAAUGCCCUGCUUCCAGGAAAAGCCUCUAAGCAUCAGGUAACAUCAAAUCGUACCCCAAACCGACACAGGUGGUCAGGUAGAGAAUACCAAGGCGCUUGAGAGAACUCGGGUGAAGGAACUAGGCAAAAUGGUGCCGUAACUUCGGGAGAAGGCACGCUGAUAUGUAGGUGAAGUCCCUCGCGGAUGGAGCUGAAAUCAGUCGAAGAUACCAGCUGGCUGCAACUGUUUAUUAAAAACACAGCACUGUGCAAACACGAAAGUGGACGUAUACGGUGUGACGCCUGCCCGGUGCCGGAAGGUUAAUUGAUGGGGUCAGCGCAAGCGAAGCUCUUGAUCGAAGCCCCGGUAAACGGCGGCCGUAACUAUAACGGUCCUAAGGUAGCGAAAUUCCUUGUCGGGUAAGUUCCGACCUGCACGAAUGGCGUAAUGAUGGCCAGGCUGUCUCCACCCGAGACUCAGUGAAAUUGAACUCGCUGUGAAGAUGCAGUGUACCCGCGGCAAGACGGAAAGACCCCGUGAACCUUUACUAUAGCUUGACACUGAACAUUGAGCCUUGAUGUGUAGGAUAGGUGGGAGGCUUUGAAGUGUGGACGCCAGUCUGCAUGGAGCCGGCCUUGAAAUACCACCCUUUAAUGUUUGAUGUUCUAACGUGGACCCGUAAUCCGGGUUGCGGACAGUGUCUGGUGGGUAGUUUGACUGGGGCGGUCUCCUCCUAAAGAGUAACGGAGGAGCACGAAGGUUGGCUAAUCCUGGUCGGACAUCAGGAGGUUAGUGCAAUGGCAUAAGCCAGCUUGACUGCGAGCGUGACGGCGCGAGCAGGUGCGAAAGCAGGUCAUAGUGAUCCGGUGGUUCUGAAUGGAAGGGCCAUCGCUCAACGGAUAAAAGGUACUCCGGGGAUAACAGGCUGAUACCGCCCAAGAGUUCAUAUCGACGGCGGUGUUUGGCACCUCGAUGUCGGCUCAUCACAUCCUGGGGCUGAAGUAGGUCCCAAGGGUAUGGCUGUUCGCCAUUUAAAGUGGUACGCGAGCUGGGUUUAGAACGUCGUGAGACAGUUCGGUCCCUAUCUGCCGUGGGCGCUGGAGAACUGAGGGGGGCUGCUCCUAGUACGAGAGGACCGGAGUGGACGCAUCACUGGUGUUCGGGUUGUCAUGCCAAUGGCACUGCCCGGUAGCUAAAUGCGGAAGAGAUAAGUGCUGAAAGCAUCUAAGCACGAAACUUGCCCCGAGAUGAGUUCU
This 2772-nucleotide ribosomal RNA is filed under the name Shigella boydii. Its description in RNAcentral is "bacterial LSU rRNA". It matches the Rfam family "Bacterial large subunit ribosomal RNA". Lineage: Bacteria; Pseudomonadati; Pseudomonadota; Gammaproteobacteria; Enterobacterales; Enterobacteriaceae. The record is from RNAcentral.